GACUCUCGGCAACGGAUAUCUCGGCUCUCGCAUCGAUGAAGAAUGUAGCGAAAUGCAAUACUUGGUGUGAAUUGCAGAAUCCCGUGAACCAUCGAGUCUUUGAACGCAAGUUGCGCCCCAAGCCAUUAGGCCGAGGGCACGUCUGCCUGGGUGUCA
This 156-nucleotide ribosomal RNA is filed under the name Gossypium hirsutum (cotton). RNAcentral's name for it is "5.8S ribosomal RNA". It matches the Rfam family "5.8S ribosomal RNA". Rfam says of the family: 5.8S ribosomal RNA (5.8S rRNA) is a component of the large subunit of the eukaryotic ribosome. The record is from Rfam by way of RNAcentral. Lineage: Eukaryota; Viridiplantae; Streptophyta; Magnoliopsida; Malvales; Malvaceae.